Molecule: ribosomal RNA, 1372 nt
Filed under: uncultured bacterium
Lineage: Bacteria
Description: bacterial SSU rRNA
Rfam family: Bacterial small subunit ribosomal RNA
Source: RNAcentral
GAUGAACGCUGGCGGCGUGCCUAAUACAUGCAAGUCGAGCGAACGGACGAGAAGCUUGCUUCUCUGAUGUUAGCGGCGGACGGGUGAGUAACACGUGGAUAACCUACCUAUAAGACUGGGAUAACUUCGGGAAACCGGAGCUAAUACCGGAUAAUAUUUUGAACCGCAUGGUUCAAAAGUAAAAGACGGUCUUGCUGUCACUUAUAGAUGGAUCCGCGCUGCAUUAGCUAGUUGGUAAGGUAACGGCUUACCAAGGCAACGAUGCAUAGCCGACCUGAGAGGGUGAUCGGCCACACUGGAACUGAGACACGGUCCAGACUCCUACGGGAGGCAGCAGUAGGGAAUCUUCCGCAAUGGGCGAAAGCCUGACGGAGCAACGCCGCGUGAGUGAUGAAGGUCUUCGGAUCGUAAAACUCUGUUAUUAGGGAAGAAUAUAUGUGUAAGUAACUGUGCACAUCUUGACGGUACCUAAUCAGAAAGCCACGGCUAACUACGUGCCAGCAGCCGCGGUAAUACGUAGGUGGCAAGCGUUAUCCGGAAUUAUUGGGCGUAAAGCGCGCGUAGGCGGUUUUUUAAGUCUGAUGUGAAAGCCCACGGCUCAACCGUGGAGGGUCAUUGGAAACUGGAAAACUUGAGUGCAGAAGAGGAAAGUGGAAUUCCAUGUGUAGCGGUGAAAUGCGCAGAGAUAUGGAGGAACACCAGUGGCGAAGGCGACUUUCUGGUCUGUAACUGACGCUGAUGUGCGAAAGCGUGGGGAUCAAACAGGAUUAGAUACCCUGGUAGUCCACGCCGUAAACGAUGAGUGCUAAGUGUUAGGGGGUUUCCGCCCCUUAGUGCUGCAGCUAACGCAUUAAGCACUCCGCCUGGGGAGUACGACCGCAAGGUUGAAACUCAAAGGAAUUGACGGGGACCCGCACAAGCGGUGGAGCAUGUGGUUUAAUUCGAAGCAACGCGAAGAACCUUACCAAAUCUUGACAUCCUUUGACAACUCUAGAGAUAGAGCCUUCCCCUUCGGGGGACAAAGUGACAGGUGGUGCAUGGUUGUCGUCAGCUCGUAUCGUGAGAUGUUGGGUUAAGUCCCGCAACGAGCGCAACCCUUAAGCUUAGUUGCCAUCAUUAAGUUGGGCACUCUAAGUUGACUGCCGGUGACAAACCGGAGGAAGGUGGGGAUGACGUCAAAUCAUCAUGCCCCUUAUGAUUUGGGCUACACACGUGCUACAAUGGACAAUACAAAGGGCAGCGAAACCGCGAGGUCAAGCAAAUCCCAUAAAGUUGUUCUCAGUUCGGAUUGUAGUCUGCAACUCGACUACAUGAAGCUGGAAUCGCUAGUAAUCGUAGAUCAGCAUGCUACGGUGAAUACGUUCCCGGGUCU